RNAcentral lists this long non-coding RNA (1631 nucleotides) under Homo sapiens (human). RNAcentral's name for it is "HSALNT0380215". Lineage: Eukaryota; Metazoa; Chordata; Mammalia; Primates; Hominidae. The record is from RNAcentral.
AGGAGCCUUUGCUUCGGGGCUGCGCAUCUAAAAUUGCCAGAGUAGGACAGCACAUAUUUGCAGGCUAACACAAGCAUUUCUGAAAGGAAAUGCAUUUGGAAACUGAGUGGUAUUGAAGCAUCUAUUUUUCUUGCUAGCAGCACAAUCUGCCACCAGGAAGGUUUUAAACACUUUCCUGACAGAGAGUGCCUGCCUGAAUUUUUUGGUAAUUAAUCAUGCAUAAUACUUUAAAUUCCACACAGGCGGCUGGCUGAAAACCCUCCAGGGAUUGCUGCAUUUGCUAUCCGAAAGUCAACUCCUAUGCCUUCGGAGAGUGAGGAAGAUCAGAGAGGGGCAUUUUUGCCUGUUUUAAUGUCGCCAUCAGUCACCAGGCAAGUCUGCAAUCUUUGCUGCAUCCUUCCAUGGUAUCGGCACAAGCAAGGCUAAACCAGGAAAUAUAAACAGUUGUCACUAAGUAUCUUUGGAGGAUUAGUCCGAGGACCUCCCUCAAAUACCAAAAUCCAGGGAUGCUCAAUUCCGUGGUACAAAAUGAAGUAGCGUUUGCAUAUAACCAAGAGUCUCACCCUGUUACCCAGACUGGAGUGAACUGGCACAAUCUCGGCUCACUGUCACCUCCACCUCCCAGGUUCAAGACAUUCUCCUGCCUCAGCCUCCUGAGUAGCUGGGAUUACAGAGGAGGAAAAUGAGCUGCAGAAGGAUCAAAUGACCUGCCUGAGGUGCCCUAUCUGUUGGCACAGGCCAGAGCACAUGGUGGAUGCAGGGGCACCCCCUUCCCUUCUCCUCCCCUCCGGCUCUUUGCUGACAGGAUUCUCUCUUGCCUUCUCUGAUGGUACCUGUGCUACGUGCCACAUCCUUUCCCUCAAUGAAUUUCAGGCAGUGGAAGGGGCCGCAGAAGUUCCUUGACUCAUGAGGCGAGGCAUUCAGCGGCCUCGUGACACCUCCCAGGAUCUGCAGUCAUUGGGCUGCACUUGCCAAUAGCAACACCUGGCAAAAAUAGCUAAGAAGCAGAGCGGCCUGGGCUCAGGAGCUGAGCAACCCCUGACUGGCCAGAUGGAGACUGUGUUGAGCUCUGCCCAAGCCCUGUGAUCCUGGAAAACAGUGAAGUUAAGGAGCCAUCUGCAUUCUAGGGAAUGGCCCACUGCAAAAAAUAGCCUUCCUUAUAGGACGUAGAGGACUCAUGAUGUCCCCUCAUUUAUGAUGAGCCAACACACAGCCCUUCCAAAUUCCGAUUCUUUGCUUCAUAACUGAUGAGCUGUUUUGUUCCCACUGGUCAAUCGGAACAACAUUCUUGCUAACCAGAUUUUGGUUCAGCUCUUCUCCCUCCCCAUGUACCUGCCCUGUGUCCUGUCCUCAUCCUGAGCCAGCACACACCCCUCCUUAGUAGCUCCUCCUGCAGCAGGCUGACCUCGGACUCUCCCUGAUCCAUUGUCCAAAUAUAUCACCCUUUCACCCUACAUCCUCACACCCCAUUCUUUCUAGUUUUGUUCAUUCCUCCCUGUGAAAGAUGAACCCUCUUUGCCUAACCCCGGACCUGCUUGCAGACUGCUAUGAUGGCCAGAGUGUCCCCCCUACUGCAAGAGUCCCUUCUGUCCCUUGCAACAUCUUUUAAAUAAAAUCUCUCUUUACCAAGC